ACUGCUAUUGGGAUUCGAUUAAGCCAUGCGAGUCGAGAGGGUUCGGCCCUCGGCUGACGGCUCAGUAACACGUGGAUAAUCUGCCCUAAGGUGGAGGAUAACCUCGGGAAACUGAGAAUAAUACUCCAUAAGUCUAGGAUGCUGGAAUGCACUUAGGCUGAAAACUUCGGUGCCUUAGGAUGAGUCUGCGGACUAUCAGGUUGUAGUCAGGGUAAGGACCUGACUAGCCUACGACGGAUACGGGUUAUGAGAGCAAUAACCCGGAGAUGAUAUCUGAGACACGAUAUCAGGCCCUACGGGGCGCAGCAGGCGCGAAAACUUCACACUGCGCGGAAGCGCGACGAGGGAAUCCCAAGUGUAUGCACGUAAGUGUAUACUGUUUCUCUGUCUAAAAAGCAGAGAGAGUAAGAGCUGGGUAAGACGGGUGCCAGCCGCCGCGGUAAUACCUGCAGCUCGAGUGGUGAUCGUUAUUAUUGGGCCUAAAACGUCCGUAGCCGGUCUUGUAAAUGCCUGGGUAAAUCGUAUGGCUUAACCAUACGAAUUCCGGGUAGACUGUUAGACUUGAGACCGGGAGAAGCUAGAGGUACUCCUGGGGUAGAGGUGAAAUUCUGUAAUCCUAGGGGGACCACCAGUGGCGAAGGCGUCUAGCUAGAACGGGUCUGACGGUGAGGGACGAAGCCCUGGGGCGCAAACGGGAUUAGAUACCCCGGUAGUCCAGGGUGUAAACGCUGCUUGCUUGAUGUUAGUCUGGC
RNAcentral lists this ribosomal RNA (752 nucleotides) under uncultured euryarchaeote. RNAcentral's name for it is "bacterial SSU rRNA". It matches the Rfam family "Archaeal small subunit ribosomal RNA", at positions 26 to 783 of the family's 1478-position model. Lineage: Archaea; Methanobacteriati; Methanobacteriota. The record is from RNAcentral.